AUUGAACGCUGGCGGCAUGCCUAACACAUGCAAGUCGAACGGCAGCACGGCAGUAGCAAUACUGUGGGUGGCGAGUGGCGGACGGGUGAGGAAUACGUCGGAAUCUGCCCAGUCGUGGGGGAUAACUAGCCGAAAGGUUAGCUAAUACCGCAUACGACCGAGAGGUGAAAGCGGGGGACCGCAAGGCCUCGCGCGAUUGGAUGAGCCGAGUCGGAUUAGCUAGUUGGUGGGGUAAAGGCCCACCAAGGCGACGAUCCGUAGCUGGUCUGAGAGGAUGAUCAGCCACACUGGAACUGAGACACGGUCCAGACUCCUACGGAGGCAGCAGUGGGGAAUAUUGGACAAUGGGCGCAAGCCUGAUCCAGCAAUGCCGCGUGUGUG
This 381-nucleotide ribosomal RNA is filed under the name uncultured bacterium. RNAcentral's name for it is "bacterial SSU rRNA". It matches the Rfam family "Bacterial small subunit ribosomal RNA", at positions 29 to 407 of the family's 1533-position model. The record is from RNAcentral.